MicroRNA precursor from Ovis aries (sheep), 96 nucleotides. It matches the Rfam family "mir-544 microRNA precursor family". The record is from Rfam. NCBI's taxonomy places the organism in Eukaryota, Metazoa, Chordata, Mammalia, Artiodactyla, Bovidae.
AUCAUCUGGGCAUCUUGUUAAAAUGCAGAUUCUGUUUCAGAAGGUCCGGGUGGGCCUGGGACUCUGCAUUUCUAACCAGUAUCCCAGUGACGCUGA